UGAGGGUGCCUUCGGGAGCCCACAAGACAGGUGUGCAUGGUUGUCGUCAGCUCCGUGUCGUGAGAUGUUGGGUUAAGUCCCGCAACGAGCGCAACCCUUGCUAUUAGUUGCUAACAUUUAGGGUGAGCACUCUAAUGGGACUGCCUGUGACAAGCAGGAGGAAGGUGGGGAUGACGUCAAAUCAUCAUGCCCUUUAUGACCUGGGCUACACACGUGCUACAAUGGAUGGUACAGAGAGCAGCGAGACCGUGAGGUGGAGCGAAUCUCUUAAAGCCAUUCUCAGUUCGGAUUGGAGUCUGCAACUCGACUCCAUGAAGUCGGAAUCGCUAGUAAUCGCGAAUCAGAACGUCGCGGUGAACUGCGUUCCCGGGCCUU
Molecule: ribosomal RNA, 375 nt
Filed under: uncultured Syntrophomonas sp.
Lineage: Bacteria; Bacillati; Bacillota; Clostridia; Eubacteriales; Syntrophomonadaceae
Description: bacterial SSU rRNA
Rfam family: Bacterial small subunit ribosomal RNA
Source: RNAcentral